Molecule: ribosomal RNA, 465 nt
Filed under: Vreelandella stevensii
Lineage: Bacteria; Pseudomonadati; Pseudomonadota; Gammaproteobacteria; Oceanospirillales; Halomonadaceae
Description: partial 16S ribosomal RNA
Rfam family: Bacterial small subunit ribosomal RNA
Source: RNAcentral
CCUACGGGGUGCUGCAGUGGGGAAUAUUGGACAAUGGGCGAAAGCCUGAUCCAGCCAUGCCGCGUGUGCGAAGAAGGCCUUCGGGUUGUAAAGCACUUUCAGUGGGGAAGAAAGCCUUGGGGCUAAUACCCUCGAGGAAGGACAUCACCCACAGAAGAAGCACCGGCUAACUCCGUGCCAGCAGCCGCGGUAAUACGGAGGGUGCGAGCGUUAAUCGGAAUUACUGGGCGUAAAGCGCGCGUAGGCGGUCUGAUAAGCCGGUUGUGGAAGCCCCGGGCUCAACCUGGGAACGGCAUCCGGAACUGUCAGGCUAGAGUGCAGGAGAGGAAGGUAGAAUUCCCGGUGUAGCGGUGAAAUGCGUAGAGAUCGGGAGGAAUACCAGUGGCGAAGGCGGCCUUCUGGACUGACACUGACGCUGAGGUGCGAAAGCGUGGGUAGCAAACAGGAUUAGAUACCCGAGUAGUC